GACGAACGCUGGCGGCGUGCUUAACACAUGCAAGUCGAACGGAAAGGCCCUGCUUGCAGGGUACUCGAGUGGCGAACGGGUGAGUAACACGUGGGUGAUCUGCCCUGCACUUCGGGAUAAGCCUGGGAAACUGGGUCUAAUACCGGAUAGGAGCCAUUUUUAGUGUGAUGGUUGGAAAGUUUUUUCGGUGUAGGAUGAGCUCGCGGCCUAUCAGCUUGUUGGUGGGGUAAUGGCCUACCAAGGCGGCGACGGGUAGCCGGCCUGAGAGGGUGGACGGCCACAUUGGGACUGAGAUACGGCCCAGACUCCUACGGGAGGCAGCAGUGGGGAAGAUUGCACAAUGGGCGCAAGCCUGAUGCAGCGACGCCGCGGGGGGGAGGACGGCCUUCGGGUUGUAAACGCCUUUCGCUAGGGACGAAGCUUUUUGUGACGGUACCUAGAGAAGAAGCACCGGCUAACUACGUG
RNAcentral lists this ribosomal RNA (465 nucleotides) under uncultured bacterium. RNAcentral's name for it is "partial 16S ribosomal RNA". It matches the Rfam family "Bacterial small subunit ribosomal RNA", at positions 28 to 507 of the family's 1533-position model. The record is from RNAcentral.